This 301-nucleotide ribosomal RNA is filed under the name uncultured bacterium. RNAcentral's name for it is "partial 16S ribosomal RNA". It matches the Rfam family "Bacterial small subunit ribosomal RNA", at positions 509 to 809 of the family's 1533-position model. The record is from RNAcentral.
CAGUCGCCACGGUAAUACGGAGGGUGCAAGCGUUAAUCGGAAUUACUGGGCGUAAAGCGCACGCAGGCGGUCUGACAAGUCAGAUGUGAAAUCCCCGGGCUUAACCUGGGAACUGCAUUUGAAACUGUCAGGCUGGAGUCUUGUAGAGGGGGGUAGAAUUCCAGGUGUAGCGGUGAAAUGCGUAGAGAUCUGGAGGAAUACCGGUGGCGAAGGCGGCCCCCUGGACAAAGACUGACGCUCAGGUGCGAAAGCGUGGGGAGCAAACAGGAUUAGAUACCCCUGUAGUCCCUGUCUCUUAUAA